This 704-nucleotide long non-coding RNA is filed under the name Cucumis sativus (cucumber). RNAcentral's name for it is "long non-coding RNA (CSAT_LNC001480)". Lineage: Eukaryota; Viridiplantae; Streptophyta; Magnoliopsida; Cucurbitales; Cucurbitaceae. The record is from RNAcentral.
AAAAGCAAAGCAAAGAUCGGAUACGUUAGUUUAUGUGUAAGGGUUGAAUAGCUCACCUCCAUACUUUCUAGUUUCUCUUCUCCUAUGGCCAAACACACUAUUCAUGCGGUUGUUGUAUUCAUGUUUAGACAUGCCGGUUUGACAAAUACUAAUCCUCACUAAAAUGUAUUAUCUAUGGGAUGGGUUAUCUAUAUCGACAAUUCAUAUGGACUAACAAUAUCGACUUAGUUAAUGAAAUCAGAACAAAAGAGAGUGAACACAAGUGGAAAAAGUUUCUCACAUGGAACAUAUCCCAGUCAGGCUGCAUGAACUCUCCAAGGAAAAGAGAAUUGUAAGCCACAGAAGAAAUAUGAAUGGUGUGGGAGGCAGGAUCACGAGGGUAAUAAUCAUCAGAAGCUCUCACGACCGCAGUCUGUUUGGCGCUGUAGAGACUGUCGGUGUUGUGGCACAUACAAGCAAUGCAUCCAUUGUCAGAAAAGUUACGAGCAAUCGAAGCUUCAAGAGCCUGAUGGUAGCUACGAGUAAGUGUAACCCUGCCACCAUGACCAGCACCGAGGGUCUCAAUAAUGUUUUGCACAUCAACCUUCACGCCGUCAAUACCGCAGGAAGCCAAGUAGGAAUGGAGCUCGUUAUAAAAAUUAAAGACUUUCUUUGGAUGCACAAGGCCAAUGCCAUGAACAGCCAAGCUGUCUACAACUAUGUCU